GGCAAUCUCAGAGACCCCCAUGGCUUUCUUGCAGCAAGUCUCCUUCUCAAGGUCUCUCCUGGAGAACUGAGAGAGAAUUCAGGUUCACAUACAUGAGUGUGAGGAGCUGUCUCUUUGGAGUUUUCUCCUUUCCCACUACUGAUAUUGCUAGAAAACAGACAUCCCUGUUGAGAAGGAUUUUGCACAAUAAUAGUACAACCCAUCAAAGACACCAUUCAAAGCCUGCUGCUUGUGCUCUCCCUGCCACUGAGGAUGACCAGCCAGACCCAGGGGAGGAUGAGCAAGAGGAUGCUGGAGAGAAGCUGUCCUUGAGAGCCAGGAUCUUUUUGAGAUGUGGGACCCUGACACCGGCCAGCUGGUAAGCCAGCCCCAGUCCUGCCCUGCUGCAACAGAUCAUAAAUCCUGCCCUGCAUCAGCUGAGCCUGGAUCCCAUCCAGAAACCCAGAGUGGGAUCAAAGAGACCGAUCCCAUGGCGGGAACUUCAGCAUCCACAGCACCUGUAGCGGCCAGACUGUCGUGGACAGGGCCUCUUUGUACUGCUGAGAGGCUGGCCAAACUGAGGGGGCAAGAAAGGAAGACUUGGGAUGAGAUGUUUGUAGAGCUCAUGACAGAUUCCCAGAGGCAAACCAGCCUGGUUGAGAGGUGAAGGCUGUACAUGAAAACCGAGAGAGAGAAAGAAAUGCAGCUCUCUCAGGUGAGCAUUGGCAGACGGAAAGGAAGCGGCAAUUCAUGGAUGCCAGAGUACCCUCCUGCAAAACAUGCUCCUGAGUCCUGCUAGGCCAACAGGUCUUGCAAUCCCAUAAUCUAGGACCCAGGCAUGUCCUUCAGUCCCUGGACAAAACUGGCUAAUGGGGCCAGCAACAAUUCCUCUCUGCCAUCCCCACACAGCCAUCCUACCGGCAGCCAUUCCUCUCUCAGAACCAGCCUCUAGGCCCUGAGAAUGCUGGCUCUUGGGAACCCAGCACUUUUGAGCCUAGCAGUGCCUCUGACAAUUUUGAACCCCGGCACUCAACCCCAGACCCAUUUUGGAUAAGAAGAGGCAGAGGGAAGGUGUAUAUUUACCUGUGACUUUAAGGCCACCGUCCGCUCUACACACACACACUUUAUUCUGUUUGCAGUGUUAGUAUUGUUACAUUUCCAGUGUUGUUUGCACUGUUGCUUUUAUUGAAAGCUUGUUUAUAGUUGGCUAGUUAGUAGAUUUUUCAGUUAAAUGUAUUUUCAAAUAUAAAAACCUAGUUAUU
Long non-coding RNA from Mauremys mutica (yellowpond turtle), 1241 nucleotides. RefSeq lists it as uncharacterized. The record is from RefSeq and is a predicted model, not a curated record. The transcript has 3 exons. Lineage: Eukaryota; Metazoa; Chordata; Testudines; Geoemydidae.